RNAcentral lists this ribosomal RNA (334 nucleotides) under uncultured bacterium. Its description in RNAcentral is "partial 16S ribosomal RNA". It matches the Rfam family "Bacterial small subunit ribosomal RNA", at positions 338 to 689 of the family's 1533-position model. The record is from RNAcentral.
CCUACGGGGGGCAGCAGUGGGGAAUAUUGCACAAUGGGGGAAACCCUGAUGCAGCAACGCCGCGUGAGUGAAGAAGUAUUUCGGUAUGUAAAGCUCUAUCAGCAGGGAAGAGAAUGACGGUACCUGACUAAGAAGCCCCGGCUAACGACGUGCCAGCAGCCGCGGUAAGACGUAGGGGGCAAGCGUUAUCCGGUUUUACUGGGUGUAAAGGGAGCGUAGAGGGCUGUACAAGUCUGAAGUGAAAGCCGGUGGCUCAACCGCGGAACUGCUUUGUAAACUGUAAAGCUGACGUACUGGAGAGGCAGGCGGACUUCCUGGUGUCGCGGUGAACUUC